UAGGGAAUCUUCGGCAAUGGGGGGAACCCUGACCGAGCAACGCCGCGUGAGUGAAGAAGGUUUUCGGAUCGUAAAGCUCUGUUGUUAGAGAACGUGUGUGAGAGUGGAAAGUUCACACAGUGACGGUAACUAACCAGAAAGGGACGGCUAACUACGUGCCAGCAGCCGCGGUAAUACGUAGGUCCCGAGCGUUGUCCGGAUUUAUUGGGCGUAAAGCGAGCGCAGGCGGUUCUGUAAGUCUGAAGUUAAAGGCAGUGGCUUAACCAUUGUACGCUUUGGAAACUGCGGGACUUGAGUGCAGAAGGGGAGAGUGGAAUUCCAUGUGUAGCGGUGAAAUGCGUAGAUAUAUGGAGGAACACCGGUGGCGAAAGCGGCUCUCUGGUCUGUAACUGACGCUGAGGCUCGAAAGCGUGGGGAGCAAACAG
RNAcentral lists this ribosomal RNA (425 nucleotides) under uncultured bacterium. RNAcentral describes it as "bacterial SSU rRNA". It matches the Rfam family "Bacterial small subunit ribosomal RNA", at positions 355 to 775 of the family's 1533-position model. The record is from RNAcentral.